UCUGUAAAUGACAAAAAUAUAUUUUUUUGCAAUAUUCAAUCUUCAUCAAGUAAAACAUAAAAUAAAAAAACCGUUUUUUUUCAAAUCGCUGAAAAAAAAUAACAAGAAAAAUUCCAAUUUUUUUUCUAAAAAAUUGCUGUUUUUGCUAAAUGAUACGCUACCUAAUUUUACAGUAUUGUUACGUCCGGUACUGUGGAGUUUCGAUGGUCGUCAUCUGUUGAUGAGUAACGAUAUUCAUGUUGUUAUCCUGUCUUUUGGAUAAAGUGUCACGUUACGAAUUGAAGGCUUACGUUUUCUUAAGCUUGUUUUAUUAUUUUACGAACACGUGUGUGUUAUCGAAGUGCGCGAGUGCAAAUAAUCUUAUCAGAUCGUAACAUUUUGGGGGCUCGUCCAGGAUAGGACGAGCAAGACAAGCAUUCUUUUCGAAUACGUGCGAACGAGCUUCGAGUUAUGGCUUCACAAUCUUCGGAAAUCGUCGAGCGGACGAUGGAAGAUGUCGAGGCGUCGGGCACUGCAGAAUUAUUACGAACUGUGUUGGAGGAGCUCUGUAGAAUUAAGGAGGAGCGUGUCCAAUUUCAGCAGUGUAGGGACAAGCUUUUUGAACGGCUUCGACAAACACAAGAUCAGUCGUUCACUAAUUUUAAUUCCAAUUCCGCUUUUGAAAAUAAUAUAGGGUUAAAAUUAAAGCCAGAUAUGUAUAAUGGGAGUGCUCCGUUGCGCGAAUUUCUUACACAGUUUGGUUUGCUGGAUCGUGUAAAUAAUUGGACCAAUUCAGUUAAAGUAGUGGUUUUAGCUUUGUAUUUUAUGAAAAAAGCGCGUUUAAUUUUAGAUGGAGCGUUUAGUUUUAGAAUUAGAAAAUUUAAAAUUUUCCGAAUUAGAAUCGCGUUUAGAAUUGCGUUUUGGUGAGAGCCAUUUAGCUCAAUCGUUUUAUACUCAAUUUAUAAAUAGAAAACAAGGUUUUGGGGAAGAUAUUUCCACUCUGGAAGCAGAACUUGAACGAAUGGCUCGUCUACUAUAGUUUAUCCGGAGUGCUCCACAGAACCACUCGAGAUAAAAUCGCAUGUCCUCAAUUUGUUGCUUCGCUUUCGGAUGGAUUUAUAAAGCGAAUUUUACAAUUUGAGGGGUUAAUCUCUUUAUGUUCUGCGGUAGAAAAGACAAUGGUUAUAAAAGUUAUUACAGAAAAUAGUUUUUCUAAAUUUUCAGGAAAAUCAAAAUUUGUUCAGAAAAGGGCCAUGAGAAAGAAUUCUGUUGUUAAGAACACGGAAAUAGAAAUUUUAGGGAAAAAGAAAAAUUUUCGCGAAAAAAAAUUGAGUGUUAGCAAUGUAGUUCUAAGGAACAUUUCUGUUCGGAGUGUUUCUUCCCUUACAUUAACUGAGAAGGGAGGGAAACUCGGAAUAGCCGAGCUCUGUAAGGUAAUUUCGCAAAACUCAGCAAAGGAAUUAGAUAUUUAAAAAAGGAAAAAGUUUUCUUUUAAGUUAAAUCAUGCACAAAGCAAUAAUUUUCAUUUCAGUGGCUUCAUUGAUGGUCAAUUUUGUAUUUUUAAGAUUGACACAGGUUCCGAUGUCUAUUGUUGAUAGAAGGUUUGUCAGGGAAAACAAGCAACGGAUCUUCGUUAUGAAUUGUAAUUUGAGGUAUCCUACUGAAGAGGAAGUUCCUGUUGAUUGCAAACUUAUAGCGUUUUCGACUGCAGUGGGUUUUAACGUGGACGAUCGUCCGUUCUAAUUGGACGAUUUCGGUAAAUGGCGACAAACUUGGGUUAAAACCCACUACAGUCUUUUCAUUCUUCUGAGAAAUACUCGUGAUUGGCCAAUUUUAUAACAUCAAUGUUAUAACUUCGGCGUAAGUCGAGCCAUGUAAACAUAGUAAUAGUCCUUGGGUUUCUCCUGUUUUAGUUAAAAAGGACGAAACUCUUAGGUUUUGUGUGGAUUACAGAAAAUUAAACGCUAAAAAGCGCUUACUAAGGAAGAUUCUUACUCUAUGCCUAGAAUUGACGAUCUUUUUGAUCGAUUAUCCAGAAGCUCUUGGUUGCCGACUCUGGAUUGAAAGAGUGGUUAUUGACAAGUUAAGUUACGAUCUCAGGACAAAGAAAAGAUAACUUUUUUGAUAGGAAAGAGGUUGUGGCAAUUCACUGUUAUGCUUUUUGGAUUAUGCAAUGUUCCCGCGACUUUUGAACAAUUGAUGGAAAGGGUUUUUCAUCAAAUUAUUAAAAAGAUUUGCUUAGUUUAUCUUCAUUACGUGAUUAUUUUCAGCAAGACUUUGAAAGGUUUAUUAGCUAAUCUUAGGAAAGUUUUUUUUCGUCUUUGGGUAGCAAAUUUAAAAUUGAAUCCGAAAAAGUGUUCUUUCUUCGGAAAAAUGGUUAAGUAUUUAGGUCAUGUUAUUUCGAAGAAUGGAAUCUCUACUAGAUCCUAAGAAAGUUGAUUCUAUUCGGGAUUGGCCUAUUUCUCGUAACAAGAAGCAGUUACGCUGUUUCCUUGGUUUUUGUCCUUAUUACAGGAAGUUUGUUAAGGGUUUUUUCUCUUAUUGCAAAGCCUUUGUUUUAACUGAAAAUCAGAAUAAAUUUAUUUGAAAUGAACAAAGUCAGUCAGCUUUUGAAAAAUUUAAAAAGUUUUUAAUGUUUUCGCUAAUUUUAUCUUUUCCUUCUGAGACAGGGAAAUUUAUUCUCGAUACUGAUGCUUCUAACCAUGGCAUUGGUGCAGUUUUAUCUCAGAAACAAGAGAAUAAAAAAAGGUAAUCGCUUUUUAUAGUCGGAUAUUAAGCAAAUCGAAAAGAAAUUACUGUUACUCGUUGAGAACUUUUAGCUAUUAUUAAAUCCUUAAAAAAUUUUCAUCAUUACCUUUAAAGACAGAAGUUUGUGAUUAGAACUGAUCAUAUUUUUUUUUGCGAUGGUUAAUGUCUUUUAAAGAGCUUGACGGACGAUUGACACAUUGGUUAGAACGUCUACAACAAUAUGAUUUUAAAAUUGUUCAUCAAGCAGGAAAAUUUCACGGUAAUACUGAUGCGUUACCUAGACGUCCUUCUGUUAAGUUUUUUUUGUAAAUAUUGUGGAAAAAGUGGAAUCUAAAAAGGAGGAGGUAAAAAUAGUUCUUUAGGGAGAAUCGGUUUUGAGGAAGAGGAGACAGAAAGUUGGACAAAGGCUCAGUUGGAAGAUAGUUCUAUUAUCAACAUCUAUCGUAGUAAGGAUUCGGUGUUCGUCCUUCUUGUCAGGAGAUAGCCUCUAAUGAUAGCCUCCUCGAAGGUUGGACUUAAUGGGAUUCUUUAAUCAAGGAUGGAGUGUUAUUUAGAAAAUAGAUUUUUCCGGACUUGCGGAUGAAAAUUCCUCAAACAGUAGCCCCGUAAAGUUUAUUCAACAAGUAUUAGAAGAAGCUCAUGAUUCUCCUGUUAGCAAGCAUUUUAGAAUAAAUAAAACUUUAGCGAAAAUCCGUAAACGAUUUUACUGGGCUACCUAUAAACAGGAUGUCGAGCAUUGAUGUAAAACUUGUAAGGUUUGCUUUGGCGGAUUCCAAUAGCACACGGGACCGAUAGCACACCACCACUCACAGCGGCCGAUGCCUAGGGUUUUUCCGCUGGUUGGGUUAGAUAAGUCAAGAUGAUUAGUUAGUAGGCUAUCGCACCAUGCAUUAUCGAAUUCCAUCCGUUUGUUUUGCUAAGAUCCUUCUGAAAAAGGAAAAUCUCCUUUAUAAAUCUUUAAUGUUGGCGUCCCUUUUAAGAAGAAAACCUCCUUUAUCGAGUCAAAAAAAUCGAUAUUUUCGAAAUAGUCUUAAUCGAUUGUUAAACUAUUCAAGAAUAUUCCCUGAAAAUUUCAAGUCGAUAUCUGCAGUAUUUACAAAGUUAUGAAGUAUAAGUGGUGCAAGGCUGAAGCAGCAGGUUGUGCAGCGUCAUUUAAACAUCCCCCUCCUCUUCACCCAAAUGUUGAGAAACAUUUGCAACCGAUCUUCGACGAUCUUUCAAAUGACAGUCUUUUAGGCGGUUAUACACAGAAUGAAAGUUUCAAUUCUACCGUUUGGCAUUUAUAGCCUAAACACAUUCACACUGGAGCAAAAAUCGUCUGCAUUGCUGCGUAUAUUGCUGCAUCAAUAUUUAACAAAGGCUACAAUGCAGUGUUAAUGAUAAUGAACAAAUUGGAUAUCGAAAUUGGGAUCCAGGCACACAAUUUUGCCAUAAUGAAGGACGAGAAGCGAAUAAACAGACAGAACCGCCAAAGCUAUAGCAGCUCAAAAGAAGUAAGAACGGCUAGGAUGGAGAUGAUGGCUCAAAACGAGUUCUACGAGGAAGCGGAGGGGUUACUUUAUGCAGCUGGAAUCGCUGAUUAGCGUGAGACUGCCAUCAAAAUUAAGGACGCUACAGUGUACACAGCGGAGACACUCCAUAAGCGAUAUUAAUAUGGCGUCCGUUUUUGUAGUAAACAUCUUUUUUUUUGAAAAAAUUCCUGUGUACUCUUAGAUUAUGUAUUAAAUUGUCUUAAAAAUUUCAAAACGUUUCAAGUUAUUAUACCCGAAAAAAAAUUCGUGAAAAUCAUGUAUUUUUCGAUCGUGUAAAGGAGGUUUCCCCCUUAAAAGGGUUCAAAUGGAUAUUCUUGGUCCUUUUCCAACCUCUUCUUUUAGAAAAAAAUAUUUAUUGGUUGUUACUGAUUGUUUCUCAAAAUGGGUGAAAGCUUUUCCGACUGGGAAUAUUAAGGCAAAUACGAUGGUAGAAAUUUUUGUGAAUUAAGUAAUUUCUAGAUUUCUAGUUUCUUUAAAAAUUCAUAUUGAUCAAAAUAGAAAUUUUGAAUCUCGGUUAUUUCAGGAGUCAUCUCAUUUUUUUUUUAUUGGGAAUUAAAAAGACUCAAACUACUCCACUUCAUCCUCAAUCUAAUGAACAGGUAAAUCGUCAGCAUUAGACGCUUUUGAAUUACUUAGCAAAAUUUGUUUCGGAAAAACAGAAAGAUUAGAAUCGUUUAAUUUUUCUGGGUUUAUUAGCUUAUAGAGCAUCGAAGCAAGAAAUUACGAGUUUUACUCCUUCUGAAUUGUUUCAA
This is a long non-coding RNA of Solenopsis invicta (red fire ant), 5011 nucleotides long. RefSeq lists it as uncharacterized. Lineage: Eukaryota; Metazoa; Arthropoda; Insecta; Hymenoptera; Formicidae. The transcript has 2 exons. The record is from RefSeq and is a predicted model, not a curated record.